This is a long non-coding RNA of Phyllopteryx taeniolatus (common seadragon), 4814 nucleotides long. RefSeq lists it as uncharacterized. The record is from RefSeq and is a predicted model, not a curated record. NCBI's taxonomy places the organism in Eukaryota, Metazoa, Chordata, Actinopteri, Syngnathiformes, Syngnathidae. The transcript is spliced from 5 exons.
AUCGACUUCCGGUUCACGUUGGUGACCCGUAGAAGACGACGACAAGCUGGUCAUAGAAAAGCACUAUCUCGAACAGUUUCGCCCCUUUACUUGUUUGAGAACAUGGAACGACCUCCCCAACAUGGCCGCCACGUAGGCACGCUGGCGUCUUCAUAUCUAUGUCCACGAACGUAAGCGAGCCUUCGGAGGAGAUUGUCUAACACUACGGAUAUUCUUUCACCUCUUUGACUGAACCAGUGGAUAUAACUGUCCGUGGUUGUUCCUGGGAAACAUAUCAAACAUUUGUACACGGUGCAGUCUUGGAGCCCCCCAGAUCUUUUUGCUGUAAUGGGCAAAAUAAUCUCCCGCAUGAUAGGCACACGUCGCAAAGAAGUAUGCCAACUGACAGGUUCCUCUGAGGUGUUUCUGUUUUUUAGAAUUGCAUCGCCAGCCAGACCAAGGAACUGUGCUGCAUCGUAUUGAGAGCUGUCCUGAUUUCUUACCUCUCUCAUCUAGCUGAAUAAGGUGUACCAAAUGUGGUGGCCAGAGAGAAGGAUGACACAUUGCUUUUAAAUUAGACCCCCCCCUUCCCAUUUCAAUGAUGACGAAUGUAAAGUAAACUGUGUUCAGCCUCUGACUGACUCAUGAAUUAAAUGGAAAUAUCCAGCAAAAUAAAAAAUUAGCACUCCUCCAUCUAAGGUGACUUGACUGAAUGUAUUUCCGCCCCCUCUCCGUGCAGCCUUGACGCGCGGUCCGAUGCAAGAAAAGCAAAUGCACUCGAUGAUGGGAGGUGAAGGCAGAAAAAUGGAGUUUGAAUAGUAAAACUGAAUCAUUUCCCUCCCGGUAGAGAGCAACCACUUGAGCUCCUCCAAUGUUCGGCAUCAGGGCCAGUUGCCCAUUCACAAACAUGCACAAAGAAAUGAUGUAGUGUGCAAAGAAAAUACAUUCAUAUUCAAUCCCUUUUUAUUUUCCAUUUGCUAAAAAACAUAAAACAUUUUUUUUUAAAAACAAAAAUAAAGAGCCGAAAGGAUUCUGAUAGGGCUCAAGGUGAAUGAAAAGUGAUGUCAAAAUCUUUUUGACUGUGCCUUUUUUUCGGAUGUGAUGAAAUUAUUGCAGUUAGACUGACAAUAAAAGAAAAAAAUUAAAAUACAGGAGAAAAGUACCAUUGAGAUGAAAUUGCCAUUGUUGUAGAACGAUCGUAAAUGUAUAAAUGUAUGUUUAGAAUGUUAUCGAGUUGUACUUGAAAACAUGAAUUAUUCCUGUAAUCCAAAUAGAUUUUUGUAACCUUGCGGUUUUUUUUUGUUUGUUUAUUUUUGUCGGAACCUUACGGGUUUCCUAAACACAAAUACUACCUUGUAACGUCCUCCUUAGUUCCCCCCCCCCCCCACACACACACACAAUUCUAAUUCAACACUGACACCAUUGCUGUUAUUGAGUUUAAUUUCAUAAGAUUGCAGCUUCAAAUUUUGUAAUGUGACGCUUUGUUUCUUGUAAAAAUGACAUCUUUUUGCUCUAAACUUUAUUUUUCUCGCAACACAUUUGACUUCAUAAAAAAUAAAAAAAAUCAAUUCAAAGAAAAAUAUUCAUCUGCUCCUGUAAUAGUCUUUCAUUAUUCAUGACUUCGUUUGCGUUAGCGUAAGACUUUGUAGUCAUACGAUUACACAUUUUCGAAUCCAAAAGACUUUUUGCAUUCAUCAUUUUUCAUUCAUCAAAACACCUUGACUUUCUGAAAAAUAGAAUUUUGUAUGACUCGUUUCUUGUAACAUUAGUUAUUUUUCAUAACUACUACUUUCUAUUCUUAUGUCCAACUUCACUAUUGUAACCUUCCGAAUAUUUUCUUGUCGCAUUACUUUGACUUUAUACUUCAUAGUUCCUUCCAACUUUUUUUUUUUAUCAUCACAUUAUGACUUAGUAAUGUGACGUAAUCUAACUCUUUUAUCUUUGCCAUUUUUUUGAACGUAACAUUAUAAAUGUAUACUUGUAACAUUCCGAGUUUUUUUCUCCUUUAUUGCUGUAAUAGUGCAACUUUAUUCUUGUACCCUUACAACGUCUUUCAUGUAAUAUUCCAACUUCAUCUCGCGACAUUGUGCAGACUUCAUUCUUGUAACGUAACAUUUAUCUUUUAAAAUUGUGACUUUUGUCCCUCCCAACUUCUUGUACCCUUGCAAUUUUUUUUCAUGUAACAUUAUGACAUCGUGCCUUUAAUAUCGUGGGGGUUUUCCCCCCCAAAAAAUGUAUUUUAUUCCUAUAAUGUUAUGUUAUCCUCAAACCCUUGCAACUUUUUUUUUAAUAUACAUGACAAUGUUAUUCUCGUAAUGUUGCCACUUUUUCCCUCCUAACGUUAUGACAUUUUGCAUGGAUAAUGUGAUUUUAUUUUUUCUUCCAAAAAUGUAAUCAAUCUUUGUAAUAUUACCACUAUAUUAUUGUGCAAUUAGUUUUUCCAAGUAUCAUUGCAACUUAAUUCUCAUAACAAAAUGACUUUUUUUUUCAUGUUACCUAACAACUGACAUUUCUCUCCCCAAAUUGUGCUUUUUUUUUUUUUUUUAAUUAUUUUUUUUUUAUAAACAUUGUGUUCUCUUAGCAUUACUUUUUUUCUUUUAACAUUGUAACAUAAAAAUACUUUUUAUUCUCAUAGCAUUAUCACUAUUCUUGUAACCAAACAACCUUUUCCUCGUAACGGCACAACUUUUCUCCCUGACUUAUGACUUAACCUUGUGAAUUUUUUUUUUAUGUAAUAUUGUAAUUAUUUUCUUGAAACGUUGCCACUUGUUUCUAUUAAAAAAAAAAAAAAAAAACACUUUAUUCCUAUAAUAGUACAACUUUAUCUUUGUAACAUUAUGACUUUACGCUUUACCAACUUCUUUGUGAAAACACCAUGACUUUUGGCCUCUGAAUUCUGAUUUUAUCUUGUGACAUUUUUGCACAUAACAGUGUUAUUCUGUUUAUGUAGCAAGACAACUUUUGAAAGUAUCAUUCCAACUUUUUUCCUAAAGAAUAUAUACCACUUUAUGCCUGCUAUAGGAAAGUUUCAUUUUCAUAAGACACUCGUAACAUUAUGACUUCAUACUCAUAACAAUACGAUUUUAUCCUCAAAAAAUGAUACUUGUAAUAUUCCGCCUUUAUUUCCUCUUCCAACAUUUUUCUCGCAAUAUUGCAACUUUUCCCCCCCCCCCCCCACCCCAACAUCUGAGGCGUAUGAGAAACGUUGCAGGACUGGUGCCAGCAAAGAUGUAUUUCAAACCCAAACGACAGACUGGCGGUUCAGCGCGGGCCAGACCAUCAACUCGCGCGUCCACAAAGAGCUUUGCUUCGUUCAGUGCGCGAGAAGAGCCGAGAGUUGUGGCGGGGAAAACUCCCGGCUGCUUCACCGUGGCUAUCGUUCACAAUGCCAUGAGCAUCCGGCACUUCCUGGGCCAAGAAGAACAUCGGGGGUCGUCAAGGGGACCCGUGUUGAAGACGUCGUUGUCCAGGAGCGCACGCGGCUGUGGCAGAGAAUGCUGGGAAAUUGCGUUUGACUCAAGGGGAGGAAAAAUUUGAAAUGCAUCUUUUGUGACACCAGUCCUGGAACUUUUUUUUUUUUUUUCCUCAUGACACUACAUUUCUCUGCCCGAAUAACUUUAUGUUGUGACGUCGUUGUUGUGACAAAGCUGUAUUCUGUAGCAUUACAGCUUUUUUUUUUUUUUUUUUUUUUUUGUAACGUUGCAAUCUUUUUCUCAUAAAAAUAUUCCUGUAAUAUGAAAGUUUUUUUCUCUCUCUCAUAGCCUUAUGAUUGUAUGGUAGUAAUUGUUUUUGUUCCUGUGUUUAACUCUGUUCAGCUGAUAUUACAAAUUUAUUCUCACACCCUUACAACUUUAUUCUUGUAGCAUUAUGACAUUAUUCUCAGAAAGUUUUUUCCCCCCACUAAAUUACACUUCUGACAAUUUAUUUUAUUGUAUUUUUUUUUUUUAAGUAUACCACUUUCCCCCCUCUAAUUUAUUUUCGUGGUAUUUUCCGUAACCAAUUGGUGGGAUGCAGAUGCGUAGCGUUUCCCCCCGAACCCGUGUUCACUAGAAGACCUUGGAGACAAGACUGGAAAACCUUUUAAUAGGAAGGCCUUUUCCUCUCCCACUUCUUUCCAUAGUUGCAUCUUCCACCUUUCCCCUUUCAGGGCCCGUCUCAGACAGAGAAAAACAUUGGCCAUCUAUUCAAAAGGCAUUUAGUCCAUUUCUUUCUUGGCCGGUAAACCCAUUCAUCAAUUGUUCUGGUCUGGAGAUGGCAUUCUAAUGCUAAUCUGGCGUGUUAAAUAUCUUUUUGCCCCCCUCCUCUCCUCGCCAUCUUCUUUCACCGUUUUGUCAUUCAGUUUAGCCAGUUUUGGCCACCCAUUUUAUUUAUUUAUGCGCCUGCUCCCAUUCAUGCGCUCAUGUAUUUUUUAUUAUGUUGUUUCACUGUCAUGCAGUGUCAACUCACUCCAUUCAGUGUGGGCUACUUGAAGGGCUUGCGGGGACAAAGCGUGUACACAUUGCACCGCUAUUCACUCCGUCCAGCUGGAUCGCUUGAGAAGAGAGAGAGAGAGAGAGAGAGAGAGAGGGGGGGGGGGGGGGGGCGCAAAAACCUUGUGAAAAGAAAUCCUGCACAAUGGACACAGAAGAAGUGCACAAUGCUAACAGUUUUCCAAAUACCGCUGAUUGCGUUCGUCACAAUGAGCGAGAGCGGCCGCUUUUCUCCGAGCUCCACUUCAACAAACAACGCGCGCACAAAACCUCCCAACCGGCGUUUUGUGCGCAAACAAAACCUCCUCGACCGUCUAAACGCUCCCACAGAAGACAGAAUGGGGGGGCGGGGCGGGGCGGGGCGGG